GUCAAGCCAAAGGAUAGGCCUAGACGUUGCAACAGUUGCAACAAGCGAGUUGGAUUAAUGGGAUUCGACUGUCGUUGUGGUAACAUCUUCUGUGCCAUUCACCGUUACUCUGAUAAACACGAUUGCCCCUUCGAUUACCGCACUUCUGCACAGGAUGCAAUUGCUAAAGCCAACCCGAUUGUGAAGGCAGAGAAGCUCGACAAGAUCUAAGUGCAAAUCAGGCUAAAGGCUAGCUGGAACCUUGUAAUGUGUUGAUCAUUGUCAUCAUCACCUAGAUGAUUUCUGCUUUGCUGCAUGCAUAUCUUGUAACCUGUUGUGUAUUGUUAUAUUUGGAGGGGUGGGUAUGGCAAAAUCGUUGCAUCUCUGCAGUCUGAAGAAAAUGUAGGAAGCAGUACGUCGGUUUCAGUAUUUUUCUAAGUUCUUACAACGGUUUAACGUUAUCAUCAUAAGCGUGUUACUGACUGUAUUGUGUCAUAAAGUGUCUUGAGGAAUACGUAUAUGAAUGCAUGCUGCCCAUGUUUGAUUUGUUUGUAAGCAUCACUUGUGCUCUAAGGUCACUGAAUGCCUU
This 568-nucleotide unclassified non-coding RNA is filed under the name Hevea brasiliensis (rubber tree). Lineage: Eukaryota; Viridiplantae; Streptophyta; Magnoliopsida; Malpighiales; Euphorbiaceae. The record is from RNAcentral.